CGGUGACCCAGGUGUUUCGGCUCCUGACAUCUUUUGGCUCUACUGUUUCCUAGUCACCUCAGAGAUGGCUGUUUCUUUCCCUGCACCCGGACAGCUGAGGAGCAGAAAGGGAGCUGGAAGAGGCACCCCGGCCGUUUAAUGUUUUGGAAUGGAAGAAAUCCAUUUCACUUUCAUUCACACUUCAUUCCAUUUAGAACUCGAUCACAUGGAUCCCUCUAGUGACACAGGAGACUAAAAAAGAUAGUGUUUUUUUUGGUGUUGUUCCCAGGAAGAAGAGAACCAAUCCUAGAGAAAAUGAGUGGUGUCUGUCACAAGUUCCUAAACUUUAUAACCUUUAAUUCAGUGCUCUGCAAAAUAAGUGCUCUAAAGUAUUUGUUGAAUGAAUGGUCUACUCCAGUGUUCUGUAAUUGAUCAUGGUAAGGAUUUUAUAGUGUAAAUUUCGUGGAGGAUUCAGACAUCCAAAAUUCAUUAGUGAUCCAAGGAAUGUUCUCAACCAAGGACUUGCUUUUGGGAAGUAUUAAACUCAUUUGAGACAUCCUAAGAAGAAGAGAUUUCAACAUAAUUACAUAUAUGGACAAUAUAUAUGGACAAAGAUCUAAUUCUGUAGACAUCCUUCUGCUCCAGUCAUCUCAGCCCUCAGGCGUAAAACCUCCACUGAUGUCAUUGGCAACCCUGUGCCCACGCUCAGCCCAUCUUCGACUGCCCCUCUCAGAAUGCAUCUCAUCUCUGCAGCCAGAAAAAUUCCAGUGAGAAGGCAGCCCAGGCCAUGGAAGACACCAUAGUGAAUAAUUUGGUUUGCACACCUAUUUAAUAAUUUUUUAAGGCAGCUAGAAAUUUUCAAAAAUCACACAAUUGUGAGUUAUUUUGAAAUCUCCUGUGAUUGGAAUUCAUUUGCAGUAUAGUCCUUGUUGCUCUUCAGACCACCUUUUUUUUUCCAUUUAAUGUUUUAAUAUGGACUUCCUUGCUUUGGAAUUAGAAGUGGAGAAAUUAGAAGUAGAGAAAUCCAAGAUUUUUUCCCUCCAGGUCAACUCUUAAAUAUCUUAAAAUUGUUCCUUUCCUUUGGUUAAAAAUAUUCUCUAUUCAUUCUAUGAAGGAUAACUGUUAAAGAAUUAGAGGAAAGAAAGCAAAUUCAAAAUAAGGUAAAAUAUGAAAAAAAAUAUAUGGGCAUAGAUGUUGUUAUGAUGUAAUAUAGAAACAGUAGAUGUAACAGGUUAUUGAAAAAAAUACCUGUCAUUUGGUGCUUUAAAAGCAGGUUCUAUGAAGUAAAUUCUUUUUUUUGUACAACAGAUACUGUGGUAAAUUUUGACAAGAAAUAUUCUCAUGGAUGUGACAGGGAAUAUUAAUUGUGUGGCCAUUAUCACCAUGAUCCCUGAAAAAUAAAAGCAGUAUAUAAUGCAUAAAGA
Molecule: long non-coding RNA, 1403 nt
Organism: Manis pentadactyla (Chinese pangolin)
Lineage: Eukaryota; Metazoa; Chordata; Mammalia; Pholidota; Manidae
Exons: 3
Source: RefSeq, a predicted model, not a curated record